Molecule: ribosomal RNA, 331 nt
Filed under: uncultured eukaryote
Lineage: Eukaryota
Description: partial 18S ribosomal RNA
Rfam family: Eukaryotic small subunit ribosomal RNA
Source: RNAcentral
CCCUUAGAUGUUCUGGGCCGCACGCGCGCUACACUGUUCGACGCAGCGAGUCUUAACCUUGACCGAAAGGUUUGGGUAAUCUUCAGCAAAGUCGAACGUGAUGGGGAUCGAUCAUUGCAAUUAUUGAUCGUGAACGAGGAAUUCCUAGUAAGUGCAAGUCAUCAGCUUGCGCUGAUUACGUCCCUGCCCUUUGUACACACCGCCCGUCGCUACUACCGAUUGAAUGGUUUAGUGAGAUCUCUGGAUUGACGCUGGCUAGGGGGCGACCCUUUGCCAGGCUGUCGAGAAACUGCUCAAACUUGAUCAUUUAGAGGAAGUAAAAGUCGUAACA